AUACGUAGGGGGCAAGCGUUAUCCGGAUUUACUGGGUUUAAAGGGUGCGUAGGCGGGUCUUCAAGUCAGACGUGAAAUACCGGGGCUUAACUCCGGGGCUGCGUUUGAAACUGUAGAUAUUGAGUGAAGUAGAGGGAAGCGGAAUUCCUAGUGUAGCGGGGAAAUGCGUAGAUAUUAGGAGGAACACCAGUGGCGAAGGCGGCUUACUGGGCUUUAACUGACGCUGAGGCACGAAAGCGUGGGGAGCAAACAGGAUUAGAUACCCUGGUAGUCCACGCUGUAAACGAUGAUUGCUAGGUGUGGGGGGUCUGAUCCCCUCCGUGCCGGAGUUAACACAAUAAGCAAUCCACCUGGGGAGUACGACCGCAAGGUUGAAACUCAAAUGAAUUGACGGG
This 395-nucleotide ribosomal RNA is filed under the name uncultured bacterium. Its description in RNAcentral is "partial 16S ribosomal RNA". It matches the Rfam family "Bacterial small subunit ribosomal RNA", at positions 523 to 917 of the family's 1533-position model. The record is from RNAcentral.